RNAcentral lists this ribosomal RNA (170 nucleotides) under uncultured bacterium. RNAcentral's name for it is "partial 16S ribosomal RNA". It matches the Rfam family "Bacterial small subunit ribosomal RNA", at positions 338 to 525 of the family's 1533-position model. The record is from RNAcentral.
CCUACGGGAGGCAGCAGUAGGGAAUCUUCCACAAUGGGCGAAAGCCUGAUGGAGCAACGCCGCGUGCAGGAUGAAAGCCUUCGGGUCGUAAACUGCUUUUAUAUGCGACGAAUAUGACGGUAGCAUAUGAAUAAGGAUCGGCUAACUCCGUGCCAGCAGCCGCGGUAAUA